This 724-nucleotide long non-coding RNA is filed under the name Sorghum bicolor (sorghum). RNAcentral's name for it is "long non-coding RNA (SBIC_LNC006500)". The record is from RNAcentral. Lineage: Eukaryota; Viridiplantae; Streptophyta; Magnoliopsida; Poales; Poaceae.
UGCAGUCGUCGAUGACCGUACGCGUGAAUGGGCAGAGUGUCGAGUAGGAGGCCUCGAAUUGUGUAUGGAUAAUCCCGACAUGGACAUCAGUUGGGGUACCCCUUACUGAUAUCCUCGACAAGUGGAAUAUACUUACCCUGCAUAUAUUGCCGAGUCAAACCCAGGACCAUACUGGAGGGAGUGCGCCAUACCCUUAGAUCAGAAUGUGCAUGUGUGCAGAAUUUUUGGUGGAAGUCCUAAUUCUAAAUAUUCUGGGUCACUCCUUGCAACAUGACUCUCUUUUACUGAAAAGGAAAUGGGCGAAUUUUUUUUGAACGGGUAUGGAUUUUCCCGUUUGCCUUUUGGCUUUUCUCAUAUUUUUUUCUUCUUUUUUUCGAAUAGCCCAUUCCAUUGUUGCUGACGAAAUGUUGAUGCAAAAGUGGAUCUGCAAACACAAAGGGCUAAUACUCGAUUCAACGUUAAGGCGUGCCAGCCGAUUUGACCUUACAAUCGACAAAGGUGAUAACUCGAAUACUUUGGUCCCGACAACAGCGAUGCGCCCGGAUGCCACGGCCAAGAGGUAUUCACGCAGAACUUGAGAACUCGCUGAGUUUGACUCGAUGAAUUCCUAAGAACUCGUAAGUAAAAAGAAAAUAUGUAAGGUGACGAAGUCGUCGAAAAGUAGAUGCUAGAAUAGAUGUAAAAACUUGUGUUUGAUUGAUUGUGUAUAUUCUUACAUUGCUAC